Molecule: ribosomal RNA, 533 nt
Filed under: uncultured bacterium
Lineage: Bacteria
Description: bacterial SSU rRNA
Rfam family: Bacterial small subunit ribosomal RNA
Source: RNAcentral
CGUUGUCCGGAUUAUUGGGCGUAAAGAGCUUGUAGGCGGUUUGUCGCGUCUGCUGUGAAAGGCCGGGGCUUAACCCCGUGUAUUGCAGUGGGUACGGGCAGACUAGAGUGCAGUAGGGGAGACUGGAAUUCCUGGUGUAGCGGUGGAAUGCGCAGAUAUCAGGAGGAACACCGAUGGCGAAGGCAGGUCUCUGGGCUGUAACUGACGCUGAGAAGCGAAAGCAUGGGGAGCGAACAGGAUUAGAUACCCUGGUAGUCCAUGCCGUAAACGUUGGGCACUAGGUGUGGGGGACAUUCCACGUUUUCCGCGCCGUAGCUAACGCAUUAAGUGCCCCGCCUGGGGAGUACGGCCGCAAGGCUAAAACUCAAAGAAAUUGACGGGGGCCCGCACAAGCGGCGGAGCAUGCGGAUUAAUUCGAUGCAACGCGAAGAACCUUACCAAGGCUUGACAUAUACUGGACCGCAUCAGAGAUGGUGUUUCCCUUCGGGGCUGGUAUACAGGUGGUGCAUGGUUGUCGUCAGCUCGUGUCGUGA